CAACCCUCAAGCCCGGCUUGGUGUUGGGUCGCGCCGCCUGGCCGACCCCAAAGACAGUGGUGGCGCCCCCCGACCCUCAGCGUAGUAACUUUCUCGCUGUAGGGCCCGUGGUGGUGUCGACACCCUAAACUCUCAC
RNAcentral lists this unclassified non-coding RNA (136 nucleotides) under uncultured Ascomycota. RNAcentral's name for it is "sequence contains ITS2". The record is from RNAcentral. Lineage: Eukaryota; Fungi; Ascomycota. RNAcentral also lists the same sequence under 1 other name.